UUUCAUAAGUUGCAGUCACGUUUUCUCCUUGCACAUGAGCGAACAUUUCAUACUGCUGUGUCAGGAGAGACUGUUUGUUCUCUCUGACUUCUUCAGUUCCUUCGUGCAUGAUCAGCAGUGCUUCCCAAACUUCCUUAGCUGUUUUGCUGUUUACAACAUUUUCAAACAGAUCGUCCUCUAAGGAUUGGAACAGGAUGUUCUU
RNAcentral lists this long non-coding RNA (202 nucleotides) under Panax ginseng (ginseng). RNAcentral's name for it is "long non-coding RNA (PGIN_LNC001712)". The record is from RNAcentral. Lineage: Eukaryota; Viridiplantae; Streptophyta; Magnoliopsida; Apiales; Araliaceae.